CAGACACCUGGUGCUUCAUCGACUGGACCACCAACGUGACGGCGCACGCCGCCUACUCCUACAUGUACGCGGGCUUCAGCUCCUUCCUCAUUCUCGCCACCGUCCUCUGCAACGUGCUCGUGUGCGGCGCGCUGCUCCGCAUGCACCGCCAGUUCAUGCGCCGCACCUCGCUGGGCACCGAGCAGCACCACGCGGCCGCGGCCGCCGUGACCUCGGUUGCCUCCCGGGGCCACCCCGCUGCCUCCCCAGCCUUGCCGCGCCUCAGCGACUUUCGGCGCCGCCGGAGCUUCCGCCGCAUCGCGGGCGCCGAGAUCCAGAUGGUCAUCUUACUCAUUGCCACCUCCCUGGUGGUGCUCAUCUGCUCCAUCCCGCUCGUGGUGCGAGUAUUCGUCAACCAGUUAUAUCAGCCAAGUUUGGAGCGAGAAGUCAGUAAAAAUCCAGAUUUGCAGGCCAUCCGAAUUGCUUCUGUGAACCCCAUCCUAGACCCCUGGAUAUAUAUCCUCCUGAGAAAGACAGUGCUCAGUAAAGCAAUAGAGAAGAUCAAAUGCCUCUUCUGCCGUAUUGGC
Molecule: small RNA, 566 nt
Filed under: Pongo abelii (Sumatran orangutan)
Lineage: Eukaryota; Metazoa; Chordata; Mammalia; Primates; Hominidae
Description: processed transcript
Source: RNAcentral